GGCCUCACCUUGAGGAGAAGAGGGGCGUCGAACGGGGAGGAGGAGCGUCGGAGAGGAAGAAGACGGCCGGACGAAGUCGUCCCGCCGAAGACCGAAGAAGGAGACGGACGCGGAUCGCCCGGUUCGUCCCGUUGACGAGGACGAGCUCGACGGGGGGGGCCGCUCCUCGGGGUCCUAGCGCCGGGAAUGGGACGCGGGGACUCACCCCGAGCCCCCGGACAUGGCGCCCAGUGCCGGAGACGACGGAUCGGCGGCUUGACGGGGGAGGCGCUGCACCCUCUCUCUCUGCUCUCUCUCAGGACUUACCAGGGAAGAACGAGGGCACUAGGGAAACUGGCGGCGCUGGGGAGGAAAGGAGAGGGAACCCUAGGGCGGAGGAGGAGGUCUCGGGCUCCUUUUAACGCCUCGGGAGGCGAGCUCGAGCCGCUGGAUCGAGAAGAGGGCGAUCGGGAGGUUGAGCGCGCGUCG
Molecule: long non-coding RNA, 468 nt
Filed under: Hordeum vulgare
Lineage: Eukaryota; Viridiplantae; Streptophyta; Magnoliopsida; Poales; Poaceae
Description: long non-coding RNA (HVUL_LNC018195)
Source: RNAcentral